Molecule: non-coding RNA, 181 nt
Filed under: Ureibacillus sinduriensis
Lineage: Bacteria; Bacillati; Bacillota; Bacilli; Caryophanales; Caryophanaceae
Also listed under: 1 other name
Description: Lysinibacillus sinduriensis Lysine sequence
Rfam family: Lysine riboswitch aptamer
About the family: Riboswitches are metabolite binding domains within certain messenger RNAs that serve as precision sensors for their corresponding targets. Allosteric rearrangement of mRNA structure is mediated by ligand binding, and this results in modulation of gene expression.
Source: RNAcentral
AGUAAGGAUAGAGGAGCAAAAACCAUCAGUACACAGUUUGAGGACUAUGAGAUCCGAAGAAGAUUGUGAAAAGGGGAAUUUGCCGAAGCUUUUGAGAAACUCAUAAUCUCACGAGCUGGUUCUGUUGUUGAACAAAUGCAGAACUGUCAUAUAGGUUUCUAUAUGGAGGGCUAUCUUACGC